AUAUUGCGCAAUGGAGGAAACUCUGAUGCAGCGACGCCGCGUGAACGAUGAAGGCUUUNCAGUAGNANAGUUCUGUCUUAGGGGANGCUAAUGACGGUACCCUAGGAGGAAGCCUCGGCUAACUAGUUGCUAGCAGCCGCGGUAAUACGUAGGGGGCAAGCGUUGUCCGGAUUUAUUGGGCGUAAAGGGUUCGCAGGCGGCCUUUUAAGUAAGAUGUGAAAGAAUACAGCUCAACUGUGGUAAGCAUUUGAAACUGAAAGGCUUGAGUUAAGGAGAGGAAAGUGGAAUUCCUAGUGUAGCGGUGAAAUACGUAGAUAUUAGGAGGAACACCAGUGGCGAAGGCGGCUUUCUGGACCACAACUGACGCUGAGGCUCGAAAGCGUGGGGAGCAAACAGG
RNAcentral lists this ribosomal RNA (397 nucleotides) under uncultured bacterium. RNAcentral describes it as "partial 16S ribosomal RNA". It matches the Rfam family "Bacterial small subunit ribosomal RNA", at positions 361 to 776 of the family's 1533-position model. The record is from RNAcentral.